CAGCCGCCGCGGUAAUACGUAGGGUGCGAGCGUUAAUCGGAAUUACUGGGCGUAAAGCGUGCGCAGGCGGUUUUGUAAGACAGGCGUGAAAUCCCCGGGCUCAACCUGGGAAUGGCGCUUGUGACUGCAAAGCUAGAGUGCGGCAGAGGGGGAUGGAAUUCCGCGUGUAGCAGUGAAAUGCGUAGAUAUGCGGAGGAACACCGAUGGCGAAGGCAAUCCCCUGGGCCUGCACUGACGCUCAUGCACGAAAGCGUGGGGAGCAAGCAGGAUUAGAUACCCCUGUAGUCCCUGUCUCUUAUAC
RNAcentral lists this ribosomal RNA (301 nucleotides) under uncultured bacterium. RNAcentral describes it as "partial 16S ribosomal RNA". It matches the Rfam family "Bacterial small subunit ribosomal RNA", at positions 509 to 807 of the family's 1533-position model. The record is from RNAcentral.